UUUGAAGUCGGUGAUCCUAUGCUGCCAAGAAAAUCUUCUAGCGAGGUUCGAGCCGCCCGUACCCCAAACCGACUCAGGUGGUUAGGUAGAGAAUACCAAGGCGAUCGAGUGAAUCGUGGUUAAGGAAUUCGGCAAAAUACCCCCGUAACUUCGGGAGAAGGGGGGCCCAGAGGGUGACGGGACUUGCUCCCCGAGCCUGAACGGCCGCAGAGACCAGGGAGAAGCGACUGUUUACUAAAAACACAGGUCCGUGCCAAGUCGCAAGACGAUGUAUACGGACUGACGCCUGCCCGGUGCUGGGACGUUAAGGGGACCGGUUAGCCUCACGGCGAAGCUGAGAACUUAAGCGCCAGUAAACGGCGGUGGUAACUAUAACCAUCCUAAGGUAGCGAAAUUCCUUGUCGGGUAAGUUCCGACCUGCACGAAUGGCGUAACGAUUUCUCCACUGUCUCAACCACGAACUCGGCGAAAUUGCACUACGAGUAAAGAUGCUCGUUACGCGCAGAAGGACGGAAAGACCCCGGGACCUUUACUACAGCUUGGUAUUGGUGUUCGGUACGGCUUGUGUAGGAUAGGUGGGAGACUGUGAAGCUGACACGCCAGUGUCGGUGGAGUCAACGUUGAAAUACCACUCUGGUCGUUCUGGAUAUCUAACCUAGGUCCGUGAUCCGGAUCAGGGACAGUGCCUGGUGGGUAGUUUAACUGGGGCGGUUGCCUCCUAAAAGGUAACGGAGGCGCCCAAAGGUUCCCUCAGCCUGGUUGGCAAUCAGGUUUUUAGUGUAAGUGCACAAGGGAGCUUGACUGUGAGACUGACAAGUCGAACAGGGACGAAAGUCGGGACUAGUGAUCCGGCGGUGGCUUGUGGAAGCGCCGUCGCUCAACGGAUAAAAGGUACCCCGGGGAUAACAGGCUGAUCUUGCCCAAGAGUCCAUAUCGACGGCAUGGUUUGGCACCUCGAUGUCGGCUCGUCGCAUCCUGGGGCUGGAGUAGGUCCCAAGGGUUGGGCUGUUCGCCCAUUAAAGCGGUACGCGAGCUGGGUUUAGAACGUCGUGAGACAGUUCGGUCCCUAUCCUCUGCGCGCGCAGGAAACUUGAGAAGGGCUGUCCCUAGUACGAGAGGACCGGGAUGGACGAACCUCUGGUGUGUCAGUUGUUCUGCCAAGAGCACCGCUGAUUAGCUACGUUCGGGAGUGAUAACCGCUGAAAGCAUCUAAGCGGGAAGCAUGCUUCAAGAUGAGGUUUCCAUGGGGUUUACCCCGAGAGGCUCCCAGCUAGACUACUGGGUUGAUAGGCCGGAUGUGGAAGUGCGGUAACGCAUGGAGCUGACCGGUACUAAUAAGCCGAUAACUUGACUC
This 1354-nucleotide ribosomal RNA is filed under the name metagenome. RNAcentral describes it as "bacterial LSU rRNA". It matches the Rfam family "Bacterial large subunit ribosomal RNA", at positions 1584 to 2925 of the family's 2925-position model. The record is from RNAcentral.